RNAcentral lists this ribosomal RNA (271 nucleotides) under Promalactis striola. Its description in RNAcentral is "partial 28S ribosomal RNA". It matches the Rfam family "Eukaryotic large subunit ribosomal RNA", at positions 100 to 353 of the family's 3401-position model. The record is from RNAcentral. Lineage: Eukaryota; Metazoa; Arthropoda; Insecta; Lepidoptera; Oecophoridae.
GGAAAUAGCCCAGCACUGAAUCCCGCGGUUGUCACGGCCGCGGGAGAUGUGGUGUUCGGGAGGUUCCGCUUUCUCGUCGUCGCAUCUCCUGUCCAAGUUCGUCUUGAACGGGGCCGUUUUCCCGUAGAGGGUGCCAGGCCCGUAGCGACGGAGGGCGGCGGCGAGAGGGACUCUCCUCAGAGUCGGGUUGCUUGAGAGUGCAGCCCUAAGUGGGUGGUAAACUCCAUCUAAGGCUAAAUAUUACCGCGAGACCGAUAGCGAACAAGUACUA